RNAcentral lists this ribosomal RNA (253 nucleotides) under uncultured bacterium. RNAcentral describes it as "partial 16S ribosomal RNA". It matches the Rfam family "Bacterial small subunit ribosomal RNA", at positions 524 to 776 of the family's 1533-position model. The record is from RNAcentral.
UACGGGGGGGGCAAGCGUUGUUCGGAAUUACUGGGCGUAAAGGGCUCGUAGGCGGCCAACUAAGUCGGAUGUGAAAUCCCCAGGCUUAACCUGGGAACUGCAUCCGAUACUGGAUGGCUUGAAUCCGGGAGAGGGAUGCAGAAUUCCAGGUGUAGCGGUGAAAUGCGUAGAUAUCGUAAGGAAGACCAGUGGCGAAGGCGGGUCUCUGGACAGUUCCUGACGCUGAGGCACGAAGGUCAGGGGAGCAAACGGG